AUUGAACGCUGGCGGCAUGCCUUACACAUGCAAGUCGAACGGUAACGGGCCUUCGGGUGCCGACGAGUGGCGAACGGGUGAGUAAUGUAUCGGAACGUACCUUUCAGUGGGGGAUAACGUAGCGAAAGUUACGCUAAUACCGCAUAUUCUGUGAGCAGGAAAGCAGGGGAUCGCAAGACCUUGCGCUGAUUGAGCGGCCGAUAUCAGAUUAGCUAGUUGGUGAGGUAAAGGCUCACCAAGGCGACGAUCUGUAGCGGGUCUGAGAGGAUGAUCCGCCACACUGGAACUGAGACACGGUCCAGACUCCUACGGGAGGCAGCAGUGGGGAAUUUUGGACAAUGGGGGCAACCCUGAUCCAGCCAUGCCGCGUGAGUGAAGAAGGCCUUCGGGUUGUAAAGCUCUUUCGGCCGGGAAGAAAUGGUAUGGGUUAAUACCCUGUGCGGAUGACGGUACCGGCAUAAGAAGCACCGGCUAACUACGUG
RNAcentral lists this ribosomal RNA (482 nucleotides) under uncultured bacterium. RNAcentral's name for it is "bacterial SSU rRNA". It matches the Rfam family "Bacterial small subunit ribosomal RNA", at positions 30 to 507 of the family's 1533-position model. The record is from RNAcentral.